AGAGCUGGAGCUUAACUGAAGCUAACUCUGUUCCAGUCUUCGGUUACACGUAUGUUGUAACAUUGAGAAUAGAGUGAUUCAGCAACAUGUGAUACAAAGUUAUCAGUGCUGCUGAUUGACCAGGCCAGUAGUAUGCAACGAAGCCAGUUGUGGCUGAUUGGAUUAUCCUCUGACUUUUAUGAACUGGAAUGAAAUGCUGAUAGCUUCUUACUUUGGAGGACUUCUGUAGAAGGGGGGGGUGGUGGAGAGGAGAGUUCCAAAGAAUCUGAAACAAAGCUUUUUAUCUACUUGCGAAGAUUUAUCUAGUCGUGAAGAGGGAGUUUUUAGCUAACGGAAGCUGCCGCAUUGUCCCCAGGAAAUAAUGCUUUAUCCAGAAUGGAAUAUCUCCAUGAAAAGAUAUGGUGCCUUCUGCCUGUUUUGUCCCUCAUUCGCUCAGUAGUCAGUGUAGAUCCUGUCCCUUUCAAUCAGCAGCUACAUCUGGCUACUGGGUCUCUGAUGGCAUCUUAGAGCUUCUCUCCCAAUCUUCUAGUGAAGACUGAUUGACACUUCUUGGAUAAUGAGGAUUUUGUCUUAUCUUCAACAUAUAUAGAAAAUUCCUGGUUCUCCAGUGUGAUUCAAAUGUGGUCAUCAUCAGUGUCUUAUUUAAAUAAUCAGAAAUGAUAUAAAAAAAAAAACUGUCCUCAUUGUUGAGCUUCUGUUGAUGUUUUUAUUUCCAUGGAAUGUAUCAAUCCCUAACAUACCUUUCUAGAAAUACAAAUUUAUGUUUUUAUGGUCUUUAAGAAUAUAAUUUCUGAAUAAUGCAAUAGUUAAACUGUAGUGUUAUCUGUCUAAUGUUCCCUAAUCUAACUUUUUGUCUUAAGGAAAUCCAACUUGCUUUUUUAUUUGUAACUUCUGGUCUUUGUAUUUACUCUAUAUAAGAUGAGUAGCAUAAAUUCAUUUUGAAACAUUUAGAGCUGAAUUAUGUUAUCCAGAUGAAAAGAAUUGGUUUUGUAGGAAGAACAUCCAGGUUUGGGGCAUGAACCUGGCAUACAAUGUAGAAUUCUGUGUUUAUUAAGUAACAGCUACAUUGUCUGCUGGGUUUCAGGCUACCUGGGAAUAUACAUCUAACUACUGUCUGUAGUCCAGACUUCAUAUUUGAUGUUGUGACUACUUGUUUAACAGAAAUAAAAGAAAAUUCAUGGAAUUUGCCUUUGGGAAGAUUUAAAGGAAAUUUCUUUUUUAAAAGGUGAUUUUUAUUGUGAUUUCAUAUUUAAAUGACCAUCCAUAAUAAUAACAACAGUUUACAGAGAAGAGUAUUGUUAAACAAAGCCACCUACUCUUAAAGUUUUUAAAUGUUUUAAAUUUUAAUUUAAAAGUAUAAUGAAUUCUCAAAUCUUUUUUUCUUUCCCCCCAAAAACUCCCCUCUCCAACUCAGAAACAUUUAUUACAUUUACUUAUUUGGUCACUCACUACUUAUUUAUUUGUAUAUAUGAUUCCUGUAAUUCUAUGUACUAAGACUGUAAAUAAAAUAAAACCGCUGCCUUCCCAUA
Sarcophilus harrisii (Tasmanian devil) is the source of this 1529-nucleotide long non-coding RNA. RefSeq lists it as uncharacterized. The record is from RefSeq and is a predicted model, not a curated record. Lineage: Eukaryota; Metazoa; Chordata; Mammalia; Dasyuromorphia; Dasyuridae. The transcript has 3 exons.